GACGAACGCUGGCGGCGUGCCUAAUACAUGCAAGUCGAGCGAUGAAGAUUGGUGCUUGCACCAAUUUGAAGAGCCGCGCACGGGAGAGUAACGCGUGUGGACUCUGCCUGUGAGCGGGGGACAACAUUUGGAAACGAAUGCUAAUACCGCAUAACAACUUGAAACAUAAUUUGUAAGUGUGAAAGAUGCAAGUUCAUCACUCACAGACGGUCCCUCGUUGUGUUAGCUAGGUGGUGAGGUAAAGGCUCACCAAGGCGAUGAUACAUAGACGACCUGAGAGGGUGGUCGGCCGCAUUGAGAGUGAGACAGGGCCCAAAGUCCUUCAGGAAGGAGCAGGAGGGCAACUUCGGGCAUGGGCGGAAGUCUGACCGAGAAACGCGGAGUGCGGGAAGAAGGUUUCCGGAUCGUAAAACUCUGUUGGUGGGGAAGAACGUGCGUGAGAGUGGAAAGCUGAUCAAGUGACGGUAACUACUCAAAAAGCGACGGCUAACUACGUG
Molecule: ribosomal RNA, 497 nt
Filed under: uncultured bacterium
Lineage: Bacteria
Description: partial 16S ribosomal RNA
Rfam family: Bacterial small subunit ribosomal RNA
Source: RNAcentral